RNAcentral lists this ribosomal RNA (446 nucleotides) under uncultured bacterium. RNAcentral's name for it is "partial 16S ribosomal RNA". It matches the Rfam family "Bacterial small subunit ribosomal RNA", at positions 338 to 795 of the family's 1533-position model. The record is from RNAcentral.
CCUACGGGUGGCAGCAGUCGAGAAUCAUUCACAAUGGGGGAAACCCUGAUGGUGCGACGCCGCGUGGGGGAAUGAAGGUCUUCGGAUUGUAAACCCCUGUCAUGUGGGAGCAAAUUAAAAAGAUAGUACCACAAGAGGAAGAGACGGCUAACUCUGUGCCAGCAGCCGCGGUAAUACAGAGGUCGCAAGCGUUGUUCGGAAGCACUGGGCGGAAAGCGUUCGUAGGCUGUUUCGUAAGUCGUGUGUGAAAGGCGCGGGCUCAACCCGCGGACGGCACAUGAUACUGCGAGACUAGAGUAAUGGAGGGGGAACCGGAAUUCUCGGUGUAGCAGUGAAAUGCGUAGAUAUCGAGAGGAACACUCGUGGCGAAGGCGGGUUCCUGGACAUUAACUGACGCUGAGGCACGAAGGCCAGGGGAGCGAAAGGGAUUAGAUACCCCUGUAGUC